This 1045-nucleotide ribosomal RNA is filed under the name gut metagenome. Its description in RNAcentral is "bacterial SSU rRNA". It matches the Rfam family "Bacterial small subunit ribosomal RNA", at positions 461 to 1520 of the family's 1533-position model. The record is from RNAcentral.
AUACCCGUUUGCAUGUACUUUAUGAAUAAGGAUCGGCUAACUCCGUGCCAGCAGCCGCGGUAAUACGGAGGAUCCGAGCGUUAUCCGGAUUUAUUGGGUUUAAAGGGAGCGUAGAUGGAUGUUUAAGUCAGUUGUGAAAGUUUGCGGCUCAACCGUAAAAUUGCAGUUGAUACUGGAUAUCUUGAGUGCAGUUGAGGCAGGCGGAAUUCGUGGUGUAGCGGUGAAAUGCUUAGAUAUCACGAAGAACUCCGAUUGCGAAGGCAGCCUGCUAAGCUGCAACUGACAUUGAGGCUCGAAAGUGUGGGUAUCAAACAGGAUUAGAUACCCUGGUAGUCCACACGGUAAACGAUGAAUACUCGCUGUUUGCGAUAUACAGCAAGCGGCCAAGCGAAAGCGUUAAGUAUUCCACCUGGGGAGUACGCCGGCAACGGUGAAACUCAAAGGAAUUGACGGGGGCCCGCACAAGCGGAGGAACAUGUGGUUUAAUUCGAUGAUACGCGAGGAACCUUACCCGGGCUUAAAUUGCAGAUGAAUUACGGUGAAAGCCGUAAGCCGCAAGGCAUCUGUGAAGGUGCUGCAUGGUUGUCGUCAGCUCGUGCCGUGAGGUGUCGGCUUAAGUGCCAUAACGAGCGCAACCCUUGUUGUCAGUUACUAACAGGUUCCGCUGAGGACUCUGACAAGACUGCCAUCGUAAGAUGUGAGGAAGGUGGGGAUGACGUCAAAUCAGCACGGCCCUUACGUCCGGGGCUACACACGUGUUACAAUGGGGGGUACAGAGGGCCGCUACCACGCGAGUGGAUGCCAAUCCCCAAAACCUCUCUCAGUUCGGACUGGAGUCUGCAACCCGACUCCACGAAGCUGGAUUCGCUAGUAAUCGCGCAUCAGCCACGGCGCGGUGAAUACGUUCCCGGGCCUUGUACACACCGCCCGUCAAGCCAUGGGAGCCGGGGGUACCUGAAGUGCGUAACCGCGAGGAGCGCCCUAGGGUAAAACUGGUGACUGGGGCUAAGUCGUAACAAGGUAGCCGUACCGGAAGGUGCGGCUG